AGAACUUUCAACAACGGAUCUCUUGGUUCUGGCAUCGAUGAAGAACGCAGCGAAAUGCGAUAAGUAAUGUGAAUUGCAGAAUUCAGUGAAUCAUCGAAUCUUUGAACGCACAUUGCGCCCCUUGGUAUUCCGAGGGGCAUGCCUGUUCGAGCGUCAUUUC
This 160-nucleotide ribosomal RNA is filed under the name Neofusicoccum arbuti. Its description in RNAcentral is "5.8S ribosomal RNA". It matches the Rfam family "5.8S ribosomal RNA". From Rfam's summary of the family: 5.8S ribosomal RNA (5.8S rRNA) is a component of the large subunit of the eukaryotic ribosome. It is transcribed by RNA polymerase I as part of the 45S precursor that also contains 18S and 28S rRNA. Functionally, it is thought that 5.8S rRNA may be involved in ribosome translocation. The record is from RNAcentral. Lineage: Eukaryota; Fungi; Ascomycota; Dothideomycetes; Botryosphaeriales; Botryosphaeriaceae.